Molecule: ribosomal RNA, 405 nt
Filed under: uncultured bacterium
Lineage: Bacteria
Description: bacterial SSU rRNA
Rfam family: Bacterial small subunit ribosomal RNA
Source: RNAcentral
GGGGAAUAUUGCACAAUGGGCGAAAGCCUGAUGCAGCGACGCCGCGUGAGGGAUGACGGCCUUCGGGUUGUAAACCUCUUUCAGUAGGGAAGAAGCGCAAGUGACGGUACCUACAGAAGAAGCACCGGCUAACUACGUGCCAGCAGCCGCGGUAAUACGUAGGGUGCGAGCGUUGUCCGGAAUUAUUGGGCGUAAAGAGCUUGUAGGCGGUCUGUCGCGUCUGCCGUGAAAAUCCGGGGCUCAACCCCGGACUUGCGGUGGGUACGGGCAGACUAGAGUGUGGUAGGGGAGACUGGAAUUCCUGGUGUAGCGGUGAAAUGCGCAGAUAUCAGGAGGAACACCGAUGGCGAAGGCAGGUCUCUGGGCCACUACUGACGCUGAGUGAGCGAAAGCCAGGGGAGCAAA